AUGGAAAUCCAACGCGGGCCACAUGCCCUCCCCGACCCCUCUUCAACUUCGGCGCGGGUCGAAGAGCACCAGCCGCCACCCGAUGGAGGCGGAGGUGGCCUCCCCCAACGCACCCCUGUCUGGGGGCUUGCUGCGCCGCCGCUGGAUGUCUCUUCUAGUGGAUCUCCGUGUCUUGACCGACCUCCCUUCCUGGUGCAGUCCAUGCUUCGGGGCGGCCAUCUGGGCGUGAGCACCUCGGGCAUGGCCGGCGCCGGAUUCCGCCACGCCUUGCUCCUGCAGCAUUCUGUACAGUUCAUUCCGUGGGGGUGUCGUGAUGCAGUAUGCAUCGUUGUGGCGAUGUGGCUCGAUGGUAGUGCUCGAGCAGCACCUACGCUUCCCUCAAUUUCUUUUCAUGUGCAGUUUGCUUUGAAAACAGAGAAGGGCUCUCGUGAGGCCUUCGCGGAUGAGAUGCUCCCGACCUUGCCUCUUCCGAUCAUUUCCAUCCCCUAA
Molecule: ribosomal RNA, 489 nt
Filed under: Triticum aestivum (bread wheat)
Lineage: Eukaryota; Viridiplantae; Streptophyta; Magnoliopsida; Poales; Poaceae
Description: partial small subunit ribosomal RNA
Source: RNAcentral